AUCAGGCAUGAUCGAAGCCAUGCUGAAGACUUUGGUCUUUGUGUGGUCAAAAAUAUGCCAAGAGAAUCAUCUUGCAUACGGUCGCUGUUUGAUAUCUAAGUUGUUUAACAGCAUUACCAAAUGUAAGGACAUGA
Molecule: small nucleolar RNA, 134 nt
Filed under: Gigantopelta aegis
Lineage: Eukaryota; Metazoa; Mollusca; Gastropoda; Neomphalida; Peltospiridae
Source: RNAcentral